CAGCAGCCACGGUAAUACAGAGGUCUCAAGCGUUGUUUCGGAUUCAUUGGGCGUAAAGGGUGCGUAGGUGGCGGGGUAAGUCAGGUGUGAAAUUUCGGAGCUUAACUCCGAAACUGCAUUUGAUACUGCCUUGCUUGAGGACUGGAGAGGAGACUGGAAUUCACGGUGUAGCAGUGAAAUGCGUAGAGAUCGUGAGGAAGACCAGUGGCGAAGGCGGGUCUCUGGACAGUUCCUGACACUGAGGCACGAAGGCCAGGGGAGCAAACGGGAUUAGAUACCCCGGUAGUCCUGGCAGUAAACGGUGCACGUUUGGUGUGGGGGGAUUCGACCCCUUCCGCGCCGGAGCUAACGCGUUAAACGUGCCGCCUGGGGAGUACGGUCGCAAGAUUAAAACUCAAAGAAAUUGACGG
RNAcentral lists this ribosomal RNA (410 nucleotides) under uncultured bacterium. Its description in RNAcentral is "bacterial SSU rRNA". It matches the Rfam family "Bacterial small subunit ribosomal RNA", at positions 509 to 916 of the family's 1533-position model. The record is from RNAcentral.